Molecule: ribosomal RNA, 2274 nt
Filed under: Triticum aestivum (bread wheat)
Lineage: Eukaryota; Viridiplantae; Streptophyta; Magnoliopsida; Poales; Poaceae
Description: partial small subunit ribosomal RNA
Source: RNAcentral
AUGAGCCGCCCGCUCUGCAACCACUACGCCGCUCUCCUCUCCUCCUCCUCCGCCGCCGCCGCCGCCGCCAGCGGCCGCGAUGGGGCCCGCGUCUCCGGCGCCGUCCACGGCCUCGUCCUCCGGACGCUCCCGCACCCGCCGCCCACCUACCUCCUCAACCACCUCCUCGCCGCCUACGCCAGGUCCGGCCGCCUCCCCCUCGCGCGCCGCCUGUUCGACGCAAUGCCCGACCCCAACCUCUUCACCCGCAACGCGCUGCUCUCGGCGCUGGCCCGCGCGCGCCUCCUCCCGGACAUGGAGCGGCUCUUCGCGUCCAUGCCCGAGCGCGACGCGGUGUCCUACAACGCGCUCAUCGCGGGCUUCUCGGGCGCCGGCGCCCCCGCGCGGGCGGCCCGGGCGUACCAAGCGCUGCUCCGGGAGGAGGCGGUGGUGGACGGCGCCAGGGUCAGGCCCAGCCGCAUCACCAUGUCCGGCAUGGUCAUGGCCGCGUCGGCGCUCGGCGACCGCGCGCUCGGCCGGCAGGUGCACUGCCAGAUCCUGCGGCUCGGGUUCGGGGCCUACGCCUUCACCGGGAGCCCGUUGGUUGAUAUGUACGCCAAGAUGGGGCUCAUUGGGGACGCCAAGCGGGUCUUUGAUGAGAUGGAGGGCAAGAAUGUGGUGAUGUAUAAUACGAUGAUCACGGGUCUCCUCCGGUGCAAGAUGGUUGAGGAGGCCAGGGGGGUGUUUGAGGCGAUGGUCGACAGGGACUCCAUCACCUGGACUACGAUGGUUACAGGGCUGACGCAGAAUGGGUUGCAGUCGGAGGCGCUGGAUGUUUUCAGGCGGAUGAGUGCUGAGGGUGUCGGCAUUGAUCAGUACACUUUCGGAAGCAUCCUUACAGCCUGUGGCGCCCUUGCUGCCUCAGAAGAGGGGAAGCAAAUCCAUGCCUACACAAUCAGAACUCUGUAUGAUGACAAUAUUUUUGUUGGAAGUGCGCUUGUUGACAUGUACUCAAAGUGCAGGAGCAUCAGAUCGGCAGAAGCCGUUUUCAGAAGGAUGACAUGCAAAAACAUCAUCUCAUGGACUGCAAUGAUCGUUGGCUAUGGACAGAAUGGGUGCGGCGAGGAGGCUGUGAGGGUGUUCUCGGAGAUGCAGAGGGAUGGGAUUAAGCCUGAUGAUUUCACUCUUGGCAGUGUUAUAAGUUCUUGUGCUAAUCUAGCAAGCCUGGAAGAGGGAGCACAGUUCCACUGUAUGGCGCUUGUCUCAGGGUUGAGGCCGUACAUUACAGUGUCUAAUGCACUCGUUACCUUGUACGGAAAGUGUGGCAGUAUCGAGGACGCACACCGCCUGUUUGAUGAGAUGCCGUUUCAUGAUCAAGUCUCCUGGACUGCCCUUGUCUCAGGUUAUGCGCAGUUUGGGAAAGCAAAAGAAACUAUGGAUUUGUUUGAGAAGAUGUUAUUGAAGGGUGUGAAGCCUGACGGGGUAACAUUUAUUGGUGUCCUUUCUGCUUGUAGCCGUUCAGGGCUUGUGGAGAAAGGCCGCAGCUACUUUCAUUCCAUGCAGAAGGACCAUGGUAUUGUGCCCUUGGACGAUCACUAUACUUGUAUGAUUGACCUUUAUAGCAGAUCAGGGAGGUUAAAAGAAGCUGAGGAGUUCAUAAGGCAGAUGCCACGGUGUCCUGAUGCAAUUGGAUGGGCCACAUUGCUUAGUGCAUGCCGGUUGCGUGGCGACAUGGAUAUUGGGAAAUGGGCUGCUGAGAAUCUCUUGAAAACUGACCCUCAAAACCCAGCGAGCUAUGUCUUGCUGUGCAGCAUGCAUGCUUCUAAAGGUGAAUGGAGCGAGGUUGCCCAGCUUAGGUGCGGAAUGAGGGAUAGGCAAGUGAAGAAGGAACCAGGCUGCAGCUGGAUCAAGUAUAAAAAUAAAGUUCACAUAUUUUCAGCCGACGAUCAGUCUCACCCCUUCUCCGGAACAAUUUAUGAAAAGCUCCAGUGGCUCAACUCUAAGAUGCUGGAAGAAGGAUACAAGCCUGAUGUCAGUUCUGUGCUGCAUGAUGUGGCAGAUGCUGAGAAGGUUCACAUGCUCAGCAAUCAUAGCGAGAAGCUUGCAAUUGCCUUUGGCUUAAUUUUUGUUCCAGAGGAAAUGCCGAUCCGGGUUGUCAAGAAUCUGCGUGUUUGUGUGGAUUGCCACAAUGCUACCAAGUUCAUCUCGAAGAUAACCGGUCGUGAUAUUCUUGUGAGGGAUGCUGUCAGAUUUCACAAGUUUAGCAAUGGCAUUUGCUCAUGUGGGGACUUCUGG